UACUGGUACUUCAGUACUAUCAAUCCCUAUUGUAUUAUUCUAGCGCUUCAGUACUAUAAGUCUUUAUUAUAUUAUUCUAGUAUUUCAGAACUAUUAGGGUGGUACUGAGAGUGUUGGUACACCUAGUGUGUGUAGGUGCUCAGUCUUGUGUGAAGGAAGUUUUUGUAUGGCAACUUCACCAGCAUGAAUCACUGUGGUGGACUUUUGGAAGCGGCACAAAACUUGUGCUGAAAACUGGUCCCUCUGUCAGACCCACAAUGUCUCUGCUCCCCCCGUCCUCUGAGCAGCUCUCUGGUGGCUCGACCACACUGGCCUGCCUGCUGAGUGGCUACUCCCCCCAGGGGGCGAUGGUGAGCUGGGAGGUGGACGGAGCGGAGGUGAAGGAGGGGGUCCUGACCACCACAGAAGAAGAGAAGGGCGGCCGCUACAGCCGCAGCAGCACUCUGACCCUGAGCAAGGCACGCUGGGAAGAGGGAGAGGUGUACACCUGCAGGGUCGCCCAUGACGACACCAGUGAUGCGGCCGCCUUCCGUAAAAGUCACUGUAGUGUCUAGAGACCGGAGAAGCCAUUGUAGGGGUCUAGAGAGUCCCCACAUGGUGCAAGUGAAGGAAACAGUUGUGUUUUACAGCUGCAUGUUACAGUAUAUUAGUGAAUAAUAUCAGUAGUGCUGUGUGAUAAAUGAACUAUUUUUAUUCAGUUGUUCAUGUCUUCUUGCCUCUGAAUUAAAAUAAAGAUUGUUUUGAUUGAAAACUAA
This is a non-coding RNA of Salvelinus fontinalis (brook trout), 755 nucleotides long. The record is from the annotation of a RefSeq genome assembly. Lineage: Eukaryota; Metazoa; Chordata; Actinopteri; Salmoniformes; Salmonidae.